GCAGUCGAGGGGUAUAGUUCUUCGGAACUAGAGACCGGCGCACGGGUGCGUAACGCGUAUGCAAUCUACCUUUUACAGAGGGAUAGCCCAGAGAAAUUUGGAUUAAUACCUCAUAGUAUAUAGCCCUGGCAUCAGGAUUAUAUUAAAGUCACAACGGUAAAAGAUGAGCAUGCGUCCCAUUAGCUAGUUGGUAAGGUAACGGCUUACCAAGGCUACGAUGGGUAGGGGUCCUGAGAGGGAGAUCCCCCACACUGGUACUGAGACACGGACCAGACUCCUACGGGAGGCAGCAGUGAGGAAUAUUGGACAAUGGGCGCAAGCCUGAUCCAGCCAUGCCGCGUGCAGGAUGACGGUCCUAUGGAUUGUAAACUGCUUUUAUACGAGAAGAAACACUCCUUCGUGAAGGAGCUUGACGGUAUCGUAAGAAUAAGGAUCGGCUAACUCCGUGCCAGCAGCCGCGGUAAUACGGAGGAUCCAAGCGUUAUCCGGAAUCAUUGGGUUUAAAGGGUCCGUAGGCGGUUUAAUAAGUCAGUGGUGAAAGCCCAUCGCUCAACGGUGGAACGGCCAUUGAUACUGUUAGACUUGAAUUAUUAGGAAGUAACUAGAAUAUGUAGUGUAGCGGUGAAAUGCUUAGAGAUUACAUGGAAUACCAAUUGCGAAGGCAGGUUACUACUAAUUGAUUGACGCUGAUGGACGAAAGCGUGGGUAGCGAACAGGAUUAGAUACCCUGGUAGUCCACGCCGUAAACGAUGGAUACUAGCUGUUGGAAGCAAUUUCAGUGGCUAAGCGAAAGUGAUAAGUAUCCCACCUGGGGAGUACGUUCGCAAGAAUGAAACUCAAAGG
This 843-nucleotide ribosomal RNA is filed under the name uncultured bacterium. RNAcentral's name for it is "bacterial SSU rRNA". It matches the Rfam family "Bacterial small subunit ribosomal RNA", at positions 57 to 907 of the family's 1533-position model. The record is from RNAcentral.